Molecule: ribosomal RNA, 497 nt
Filed under: uncultured bacterium
Lineage: Bacteria
Description: partial 16S ribosomal RNA
Rfam family: Bacterial small subunit ribosomal RNA
Source: RNAcentral
ACGCACGCUGGCGGCGUGCCUCAUCCCUGCCAGUCGAGCGGACGAAUCGAAAGCUUGCUUUUGAUUCGUUAGCGGCGGACGGGUGAGUAACACGUGGGCAACCUGCCCUGUAGACGGGGAUAACACCGAGAAAUCGGUGCUAAUACCGGAUAACACGAAAUGUCGCAUGACGUUUCGUUGAAAGACGGCGCAAGCUGCCGCUACAGGAUGGGCCCGCGGCGCAUUAGCUAGUUGGUGAGGUAACGGCUCACCAAGGCGACGAUACGUAGCCGACCUGAGAGGGUGAUCGGCCACACUGGGACUGAGACACGGCCCAGACUCCUACGGGAGGCAGCAGUAGGGAAUCUUCCGCAAUGGACGAAAGUCUGACGGAGCAACGCCGCGUGAGCGAAGAAGGCCUUCGGGUCGUAAAGCUCUGUUGUUAGGGAAGAACAAGUAACGCAGUAACUGGCGUUACCGUGACGGUACCUAACGAGAAAGCCACGGCUAACUACGUG